ACGAUCCUCAUCUAUUUUUGAUGAGGUUAUUUUCUUUCUUUUGUGAAAUGUAAUCUCCAGGAAGGAAUGUUCUGAAAAUGCCUACUCAGUGCUGAAUGCACCAACUGGAAAUGAAAGAAGAUGGGUCCACCAGUGUCCGCUUUUCAAUUUAAGAAGUGAAAUAAAUGAAUGUCGCAAAGCUCAUUGCUGCCAGAAGAAAUUGUCAUCUUCCAAUGUGGGUUUUAUUAGCACUCUUUUCUGUCCUGCUGGGAAGAUUCUGUUCUGCUUGUUGGUCAAUGAACUCAAAUACCUAUCUGUCUCCCUUUGUUCAGGUCUGGUUUUCAGUUAAAAAAAAAAAGAAGAAAGCAGCAUCACACUUGGAAGUGAAGAGAUCCCCUGUUGUGUGUUGACCUCAUGAAUUAGUUUUCCCUGUGCUGUGAUGAUGCUGGUUUCUAGGGAAAACACAAUUUGAGUCUGGCACUGGAAAACCCUCUUUCUUUCCCAUCCUCUGCAUAUUGCUGUAGUAUUUGUGUGUCCAAUGCUGGAGACGCCAGUGUUGGCUACACCUCCAUGGAAGCACUCAGCCUUCUCUGCAUCCACUUAAUGUUCUUCCCCAAGCAAUCAGAAUUAUUUGAACAGUUGCCAUCCACUGGCAUUGCUCCAUCUCCUGAAGACCUGUUGCUGAUUCAGCUGAUGCUGGAAGCAUCUCUGUUCUUCCAAGUUCUCAUGGAAAAUAUGACAAGAAGAAAAGCCUGUACAGUUUCAGUACAGAUGCAUCCAAAACAGGCACAACUACAUAAAAAUCACCAACAAUAUGUAUGAACCUCCAUUUGUUGAGCUUGUGAAAUCUGCCACCAUGAGAGCUACCUGUUCUGGGGUAACACAUUCUACAGAUCCUGUUCCCCUACAGGUGAGGAAGCCUAGCAUUUCCAGACAUUAUCUUUCUCCCCAAUUUGUCCACCCAGAUCACAAGGCAAAAGCGAAAAUCUGUGGAGAUUUACAGAAGGUCCUGGCCAACGUUUGAUGAGAGCAGCAUAUCCGUAUGUUGAAUACAAAUCCCAAGGACAAGACUCGAGAGGCUCCUCUGCAAGAGCACCCUGUAGCGGCUGCCUCCGCAAUUCUCCCCAUCCCUGAUGAUACACAUCAGAGUAGGUGUGGUGCUGUCUGCAGAACUGAUUCACAAAGUAUACAAAAAUUGGUAAAUUUGAAUAAAAUACAACCACCUUAGCUCUCUGAGAGCA
RNAcentral lists this long non-coding RNA (1220 nucleotides) under Oryctolagus cuniculus (rabbit). RNAcentral describes it as "lncRNA (ENSOCUG00000030893.1)". Lineage: Eukaryota; Metazoa; Chordata; Mammalia; Lagomorpha; Leporidae. The record is from RNAcentral.